AACGCAACUGGCGCCGGAUUACCCGCAUGACUGUUUCAGUGUGUUAGGGGAGUAAAAUAUCAUUAUAAAAUAUAAUGCGAUUGAGGAACAUUUAUGUUCUUCUUUCGUUAAAUAUGAAGGUGUGUAAGAUGAGUAAUCUCUACCACUGGCCAACGAAGUAGUCAUGCUUGUUCGUGAUCUCAUUUAUCCAGUGCUACUGGUUUUUGCUUAGCUAUAAAUCACAUCUAAUCAAUUCAUUAUCUCCAAAUUUGGCAUGUGAAAUCAGACAAGCUUACCCGCUGAACUUAA
Molecule: unclassified non-coding RNA, 288 nt
Filed under: uncultured fungus
Lineage: Eukaryota; Fungi
Description: partial contains 5.8S rRNA and ITS2
Source: RNAcentral